RNAcentral lists this transfer RNA (75 nucleotides) under Bacillus cereus. Its description in RNAcentral is "tRNA-Met". It matches the Rfam family "tRNA". From Rfam's summary of the family: Transfer RNA (tRNA) molecules are approximately 80 nucleotides in length. Their secondary structure includes four short double-helical elements and three loops (D, anti-codon, and T loops). Further hydrogen bonds mediate the characteristic L-shaped molecular structure. tRNAs have two regions of fundamental functional importance: the anti-codon, which is responsible for specific mRNA codon recognition, and the 3' end, to which the tRNAs corresponding amino acid is attached (by aminoacyl-tRNA synthetases). tRNAs cope with the degeneracy of the genetic code in two manners: having more than one tRNA (with a specific anti-codon) for a particular amino acid; and 'wobble' base-pairing, i.e. permitting non-standard base-pairing at the 3rd anti-codon position. RNAcentral also lists the same sequence under 1 other name. Lineage: Bacteria; Bacillati; Bacillota; Bacilli; Caryophanales; Bacillaceae. The record is from RNAcentral.
CGCGGAGUAGAGAAGUGGUAUCUCACUAGGCUCAUAACCUAGAGAACGGGGGUUCAAAUCCCUCCUCCGCAACCA